GUAGGUGGCAAGCGUUGUCCGGAAUUAUUGGGCGUAAAGCGCGCGCAGGCGGUUCUUUAAGUCUGAUGUGAAUGCCCACGGCUCAACCGUGGAGGGUCAUUGGAAACUGGAGAACUUGAGUACAGAAGAGGAAAGCGGAAUUCCACGUGUAGCGGUGAAAUGCGUAGAGAUGUGGAGGAACACCAGUGGCGAAGGCGGCUUUCUGGUCUGUAACUGACGCUGAGGCGCGAAAGCGUGGGGGGAGCAAACAGGAUUAGAUACCCUGGUAGUCCACGCCGUAAACGAUGAGUGCUAAGUGUUAGGGGGUUUCCGCCCCUUAGUGCUGCAGCUAACGCAUUAAGCACUCCGCCUGGGAGUACGGCCGCAAGGCUG
This 372-nucleotide ribosomal RNA is filed under the name uncultured organism. RNAcentral's name for it is "partial 16S ribosomal RNA". It matches the Rfam family "Bacterial small subunit ribosomal RNA", at positions 527 to 896 of the family's 1533-position model. The record is from RNAcentral.